GGGGGGGGGGGGGGGUCGCUGAAAAUGCUACAACCUCUCCACAAAUUUCUCCAACGUGUCUCCUGUGGUAUCUCCGACCAUGGCUAGGUCGGUGGGCAGGCCGCCACGGCCCGGCGCGUUGAGCUGCGAGAGCAUGGUGCUCUGCUCAGAUGUGCCCAGGUGCCCCUGCUGCUCCAGGGUGGCGCCAGCGGGCAGGGGUGUUCCCAGGCCAGGGUGAGGCGAGGCGGAGUGGGGUGAGGGCUGCGGCUGGACCUGCGGCGAGGGGCUGGAGUGCUGCUGCGAUGGUGGUCGUGGGGACUGCACAGGUGCUGGAGAGCGAACCUGGCUACCCAGCGUGCUGCCUGGCAUGGGCUGUCCAGGUAGCAGGUGGCCUUGCGGACUCAUAGGGUUUGGUGGUGCCGGCGAGCCCAUCUGGGUCUUGAGGACUGCCUGCUGCUGCUGCUGUUGCUGCUGCUGCUGUUGUUGGAGCAUGCGUUGGUGGAUCAAGGUCUGUGUAGCAUCCAAUCCUGACUGCCCCAUUUGUGGCAUUGGCGGAAGUUGGCUCAUGGGUCCACCAGCGCCUAGCAUUUGUUGUUGGUGUUGCAUGCGAAGUUGCGAGUAGCUGGAUGCAGCACCCUGCGCUUGAGGGAACUGGCCAUGCGCUUGAGGCAUCACACCCUGUUGCUGCUGCUGCUGCUGCUGCUGUUGCUGUUGUUGCUGUUGUUGCUGCUGCUGCUGUUGAUGGCGCAUCAGCUGCCGACGGUACAACUCUAGCUGCGCUGGGCUCAUCUGUUGACCCUGCGCUGGGCCGAGAGCCGCCAUGCCUUGUGUGUUUGGCUGUUGAGGUUGUUGCGUUGGCAUGCCAGGUCUUUGGACACCCUGCAAGGCUGCCAUGGCUUGCAUUGUGGGCUGCAUGCCCUGUUGUUGCUGCUGCUGUGGCUGGCUGGCAUACUUCGCUGUCCUCUGCUUGAUGAAAGCUGCCAUGAGCUGCGGGUUGGACUUGAGGAUGUUAAGCACCUGCUGCUGUUGCUGCGGUGAGCUGGGAGACUUGAGUGUGCGCAGAAGGUCUUGCAGGGCAUUCGGUGCGAUGGCUGGAGGUCUCUGGGGUGCUUGGGGUGGCCGCUGGCCCUGCGCAGGCACCAUCAUGCGCUGCGAAGGCUGCUGAGGCAUCAUGGGCCUCUGCAUUGGCAUGGCUUGCUGUGGGCCUUGCGGCGCCUGCUGCUGCUGUGGCUGCGGUUGAGCCGCCUGCUGCAUUCCCGCUUGCAUUCCCGCUUGUGGCCACUGGCCCGGCGGCAUGCCUUGCAUGACCUGCUGUCCCCGAGGUCCCACCAUCUGCAUAGGAGGCUGCAUGGCGCCCGGCAUACGCUGCUGUGCUUGCUGGUGGUUCAUGGCCAAGCCGUUUACAGCCAUGCGGUAGUUCUGGCUCUGCUGGGCCUGCGCCAUCAUCUCGAUCUUGCGUGCCAUUUGGACGGCAGCAGCAGGCGGGUGCUGCGGUUGCAGUGGCGGCUGCUGCUGCUGUUGCUGCGGUUGCUGAUGCUGCUGCGGUUGGGGUUGGGGGAGUGGAGACGGCUGUUGGUGCAGCGGUGAAGCCUGCGCACUUGAUUUACCCUGGGAUACUUGCUGGCCAUUGCGGGGGGCAGCAGGAUACGUGGGAGACAUGACACCGGCGUUGGGCGUGGUUGGCUGGCUAGGAAGGAGGGGCUGUGGCGUUUGGGGCGUGUUUGGCUGCUGCUGCGGCGGCUGCUGGUGUGCUGUGGGGGUGCCCGGAGCGGCAGAAGGCGGAGGGGACGGCAGGCUUUGGGGUCCGGCGCGGCCUUGCAUGGUGGCCAUGCGCCGUCGCAUCAUCUGGGCCUGCUGGAGGCGGUGCUGCAGCUGCUAAGGGCACAGGGCACUUGUUCUCCUGGCAGUGCUUGGCAUGGUAACAGCAAAGCGCGAUGAGCUGCUUGCAGACAGGGCAGCCUCCGUUGGUCUUGCGCUUACAACCCUUGGUGUGCUGCACCACCCGCUUCAUCUUCUGGCAGGACGGAAGUGAGCAGUUGGCGUUGCGACACUGACAGGCAUGCACCAGGGACUGGAUGCAGCGCUGGAUGCUCAGACGCCGGCUCUCCUGCGGGCUCUUGGAGGCCUCGCCACUCUGACUGUUGCUGUCGUCAUCCAGACCGAGACCCCACUUGACCAUCUGGUGUUCGUGGCCCUUAGUGUUGUAGCAGUUGAUGCACAAGUCGAA
This is a long non-coding RNA of Ictalurus punctatus (channel catfish), 2206 nucleotides long. NCBI's taxonomy places the organism in Eukaryota, Metazoa, Chordata, Actinopteri, Siluriformes, Ictaluridae. The record is from Ensembl.